UUUUUUUUAUACAAAUACCAAGUUUAUUGUGAAAUUGUACUACUGAGAUGCUAUUUCAUAUAAAGAAGAAUGGCUACUGAGAUGCUUAUUUGAUUGUUUGUUUGAACAUAAUGGAUUAUGGAUGAUUUUGUUGAAAAUGAAGCACUUUAGUGAGGAAAGCAAAACUAAAAUACAUAUUUUAAAUGAUAAAUAUUAGUGUGAUUAGAGUAUUAAUGUUGGGGAAAGAUCAAACCCUAUAUUUUGUUGAAUAUUAAAUCCCAUCCUAUACUCCCACUUGGAUUCUUCUAA
This 288-nucleotide long non-coding RNA is filed under the name Medicago truncatula (barrel medic). RNAcentral describes it as "lncRNA gene16327". The record is from RNAcentral. Lineage: Eukaryota; Viridiplantae; Streptophyta; Magnoliopsida; Fabales; Fabaceae.